RNAcentral lists this ribosomal RNA (330 nucleotides) under Bacillus licheniformis. RNAcentral's name for it is "bacterial SSU rRNA". The stretch from base 1 to 296 matches the Rfam family "Bacterial small subunit ribosomal RNA", at positions 1146 to 1533 of the family's 1533-position model. The record is from RNAcentral. Lineage: Bacteria; Bacillati; Bacillota; Bacilli; Caryophanales; Bacillaceae.
UAGCUGCGGUUGACAACGGAGGAAGGUGGGGAUUGACGUCAUAUCAUUCAUGCUCUUAGACUUGGUCUACACAUCGUGCUACAUGGGCAGACAAGGGCAGCGAAGCGCGAGGCUAGCAUUCCACAUAUCUGUUCUCAGUUCGGAUCGCAGUCUGCACUCGACUGCGUGAAGCUGAAUCGCUAGUAAUCGCGGAUCAGCAUGCCGCGGUGACUACGUACCCGGACCUUGUACACACGCUCCGUCACAUCGUACGACGGUUGUCAACUACGCCGUAAGUCGCGCUGAGCGCAGCCAUAUUCGUGCAGAUCCCGAAAUGGAUGACUGAGCUCU